UGCAUUAUCCUCGAAUGCAAUUACAAAAUAGAACGAAUGAAAAAAAAUGAAAAGAAAAAUGUAAAACGAUUUGAUAUCGUGCUAUCAAUGGUUAUCAAACUAUUACUAUCAAAAUAACUAAUUAGACAUAUCCCUGAAAACGUCUGCGGAAGAUUGACUGAUCGACUAAAAGAAAAGAGGGAAGAAAAAGAACAAACUGGUGGAAGAAAAACCAACUUCGAUGAAAUACGAUGAAAAAGCUAAACGAUAGAAUAUUUCAGAAUAAAAUUAAGAUUGUUAAAUGAUACUUAGUGUGUUACAUACAAAAAUGACCAUGUAGAUUAGUAUUAUUAAUUUAUGUUAUUCACGUUAUCAACAAAACUGUUAUGUACAUCACUAUUGUCCAAAAGUGGCAGAUGGUGGCACAUUUCUCUUUCACUAUCAUUACUCUCUCCAGAUAAUUGCCUAUGAAGAUAUAUCACUCUUAGAUAAUGCUGAUAUACAUAAAAUGCAAACGCAAUAUACAUUGCAAAUACUAUUAUUGCUUCAGUUUUAAACUGUUAAUACUUAAUUUACUUAUUUUUUAUGAUUUAAUAUCGUACUUAGAAAAAUAUAAAUGAAUUUAUUGUAUUAAUAAAAUUAUUAAUCUG
Molecule: long non-coding RNA, 629 nt
Organism: Formica exsecta
Lineage: Eukaryota; Metazoa; Arthropoda; Insecta; Hymenoptera; Formicidae
Exons: 2
Source: RefSeq, a predicted model, not a curated record